CAGUAUGCAUCCCUGCUUUGUUUGGAUGGGAAACAAGAGUUCAGGACAGUCCAUUUGAUCAUUUACCCUGACUUUACUUUAAAAUACAUUGAUUGGUGUAAACAUCUGAACCUCCUGUUUUUUUUGUCCCAGAUUCACUGCUACUAUCAUGGCGAGGUGGAGGGUCACCCGGGGUCAGAGGUCAGCCUCAGCACCUGCACAGGACUCAGGGGACUGAUUUCACUUGAACAUGAAGUGUAUGUACUGGAGCCGAUGGAAGAGGGAAACACACACCGUCUUUACAGAGGAGAACAUCUUAAACUCACCCAGGGAACCUGCGGACACGGUCACAACAUUUCAUACCCUACAGAGAUGAUGAACACUACUGGACAUAAAAGAGACGCUCAGAGCAGCACCAAGCAUGUGGAGUUGAUCAUCGUCGCAGACAACCGCGAGUAUCAGAAACAGGGGAAAGACGUGGAGAAAGUGAAACAGAGGCUUGCUGAAAUAGCGAACUACGUGGACAAGUUUUACAGAUCGCUGAAUAUCCGUGUGGCUCUGGUGGGGCUGGAGGUGUGGAGUGACGGAGACAAAUGCUCCAUCACACAGGAUCCGUUCACAUCGCUCCACGAGUUCCUGGACUGGAGAAAAGUCAAGCUGCUCCCGCAGAGACCCCAUGAUAACGCUCAGCUCAUCAGUGGCGUUUACUUCCAGGGCACCACCAUCGGCAUGGCUCCCAUUAUGAGCAUGUGCACUGCGGAACAGUCAGGGGGCAUCGUCAUGGAUCACUCUGAUAACCCUCUCGGCGCUGCGGUUACUUUGGCCCAUGAGCUCGGACACAACUUCGGCAUGAACCACGACACACCGGAGCGCGGCUGCGGCUGCAGAGCCACCAUGGACCGCGGCGGGUGUAUCAUGACCCCCUCCACUGGGUAUCCUUUCCCUACAGUCUUCAGUACGUGCAGUAAGAAGGAUCUUGCGGCGAGUUUGGAGAAAGGUGUGGGCAUGUGUUUGUUCAACAUGCCAGAGGUGAAGGUGCUCUACGGAGGCCAGAAAUGUGGAAAUGGAUACGUCGAGGAGGGAGAGCAGUGUGAUUGCGGAGAUGUGGAGGAGUGUCUGAAUCCCUGCUGUAAUGCCAGUACAUGCACACUGAAGGACGAAGCCGUAUGUGCGCAUGGACAGUGUUGUGAAGACUGUCAGUUGAAGCCUGCAGGGACUCGGUGCCGUGAGUCCAGUAACUCCUGUGAUCUGCCGGAGUUUUGCACGGGUGCCGAUCCUCACUGUCCCGCUAAUGUCUACCUGCACGACGGACACACCUGUCAGGGUGUGGAUGGACACUGUUACAACGGCAUCUGCCAGACACACGAGCAGCAGUGCAUCACACUGUGGGGACAGGGUGCAAAACCAGCUCCAGGUAUCUGUUUCGAAAGAGUCAACUCGGCGGGAGAUCCGUAUGGAAACUGUGGAAAAGAUUCAAAGGAAUCAUUUGCCAAAUGUGAAGCGCGAGAUGCUAAAUGUGGGAAGAUCCAGUGUCAGGGCGGAGCCAAUCGGCCAGUGAUUGGCACCAAUGCCGUCUCCAUAGAAACCAAUAUCCCGCUCCAGGAAGGAGGCCGUAUCCUCUGCCGCGGGACUCAUGUGUACCUGGGAGACGACAUGCCGGAUCCGGGCCUCGUGCUCACCGGCACCAAGUGUGGAGAAAACAUGAUGUGUAUAAACAGACAGUGUCAGAACAUCAGUGUGCUCGGGGUUCACGACUGUUCGGCCAAGUGCAGCGGACACGGGGUUUGUAAUAAUAAUAAGAACUGUCACUGUGAGUCACUCUGGGCUCCUCCGUUCUGUGAUAAAGCUGGGUUUGGAGGCAGUAUGGACAGCGGCCCGAUGAGACCAACAGGUAUUAAACAUGUAUCCGUGAUUAUUAUUAUACUCAGUGUGACGGUGGGCAUCCUGGUGGCGUUUCUGUGUCUGCUGUGUGUUGGAAUAAUCCCCCAGUCUCCUCUCCAGACGGUGGACUCUGUGGUCCCGUCUCAUGGUCUCCGCCGGCUGCCCCCGUGCCCUCCGGUCCACCUCUCUCACCCGCUGCCGCUGGCACUUGGCCUUCCACUGACACCACCACACACACACUCGUCUCCACCCAGAGCCCCUCCACCAGCACUCACACACACAUACACAUCCGCUCCAGCAGUGGGAACGGCCGGCCGUGGCCUGGCCUGCCAGAAUGUCUGCAAGAUCGCCAUGGUGAGUGGAAAUAUGCCAGCGCUGUAG
Sinocyclocheilus grahami is the source of this 2241-nucleotide long non-coding RNA. Ensembl annotates it as disintegrin and metalloproteinase domain-containing protein 12-like. NCBI's taxonomy places the organism in Eukaryota, Metazoa, Chordata, Actinopteri, Cypriniformes, Cyprinidae. The record is from Ensembl.